AUGGUUUUCUGGUGCGGUGGUUACCCCACGGCGGCCGGUGGUUGCCCCACGCAACUCCGGCGACCGCUGACUCUCUGCAUCGGCUACAAUCCCGGUUUGGCCUCGGAACAACAAACACAAGGGAAGAGGCUCAAUGGUAAAGAGGGGGCAGAGAGCUAUCUGCGAGGCCUACAGCGGGCAGCAACACCAGCAGGCGUUUGGUUUUGCGCAGCCGCAGGUGCUGGACAGGAGCAGCAGAGCGCGUUUGACGGCAUGCUGGAUCUGCUCCUGGUCCGCGUGAGAAGGCCGCCAAGAACGUCCACACCAAGCAAGGGCAAGCAAAAGGAGAAUGUGAACAACGUGAUGAUGUUCCACCAGGCCACCUACGACAAGCUGCUCAGUGAGUGA
RNAcentral lists this ribosomal RNA (387 nucleotides) under Triticum aestivum (bread wheat). RNAcentral's name for it is "partial small subunit ribosomal RNA". The record is from RNAcentral. Lineage: Eukaryota; Viridiplantae; Streptophyta; Magnoliopsida; Poales; Poaceae.